RNAcentral lists this transfer RNA (66 nucleotides) under Halipeurus diversus. RNAcentral describes it as "tRNA-Val". The record is from RNAcentral. Lineage: Eukaryota; Metazoa; Arthropoda; Insecta; Psocodea; Philopteridae.
AAGAAUAUAGUUUAAAAUUAAAACAUUUUGUUUACAUCAAAAAAUUCUUAUAAAAAAGUAUUCUUA